AUUGAACGCUGGCGGCAGGCCUAACACAUGCAAGUCGAGCGGAUGAAGGGAGCUUGCUCCUGGAUUCAGCGGCGGACGGGUGAGUAAUGCCUAGGAAUCUGCCUGGUAGUGGGGGAUAACGUCCGGAAACGGGCGCUAAUACCGCAUACGUCCUGAGGGAGAAAGUGGGGGAUCUUCGGACCUCACGCUAUCAGAUGAGCCUAGGUCGGAUUAGCUAGUUGGUGGGGUAAGGGCCUACCAAGGCGACGAUCCGUAACUGGUCUGAGAGGAUGAUCAGUCACACUGGAACUGAGACACGGUCCAGACUCCUACGGGAGGCAGCAGUGGGGAAUAUUGGAUAAUGGGCGAAAGCCUGAUCCAGCCAUGCCGCGUGUGUGAAGAAGGUCUUCGGAUUGUAAAGCACUUUAAGUUGGGAGGAAGGGCAGUAAGUUAAUACCUUGCUGUUUUGACGUUACCAACAGAAUAAGCACCGGCUAACUUCGUG
Molecule: ribosomal RNA, 484 nt
Filed under: uncultured bacterium
Lineage: Bacteria
Description: partial 16S ribosomal RNA
Rfam family: Bacterial small subunit ribosomal RNA
Source: RNAcentral